UGGGAGGGCACAGGCGCUUGCGCAGUAGGGUGGCCGCUCCCGGCCGCGUGCAGCGCGAACGUCGGCGCAGGCGCCAAGGCUCUGGCAGUUGGCCAGCACACCACUACGCAUGUGUGUCAACUCUAGGGUUGGGUGCUGGGGUUGCGGCUUUCGGUUAACACCGCAGAUUGGAACAGGCUGAGAUCUGCUGGAGACAACUUAGGAAAUUAUCAUAGUGAAAAUACUAACAUGGAUUGUUGAUCAUCUGAUGCUAUGAUUCUUUCCCAGGCACCACACCUGUUGGUGUUCAGAUGGAGCGGCACACUAGUCAUCCUAACAGAAAAGCCCAAGGAAUGCCUAGGACUCCUGGAAUGUAUGUAUGCAAACCUCCAGCUUCAGACCCAGCUCGCCCAACAACAGAUGGCUGUUUUGGAACAUUUACAGGCAUCUGUGACACAACUGGCUCCUGGGAGGGGAAGCAAUAACUCUUCUCUCCCAGCCUUAUCUCCUAAUCCAUUGUUAAAUCACCUGCCCCAAUUCAGUAAAUGAAUUGUGGAACAA
Molecule: long non-coding RNA, 540 nt
Filed under: Homo sapiens (human)
Lineage: Eukaryota; Metazoa; Chordata; Mammalia; Primates; Hominidae
Description: long non-coding RNA NONHSAT149882.1
Source: RNAcentral